UCCUUGGUGGCUCAGAUGAUAAAAGCAUCUGCCUGCAAUGCGGGAGAUCCAGGUUCGAUCCCUGGGUCAGGAA
Non-coding RNA from Bos taurus (domestic cattle), 73 nucleotides. The record is from Rfam. Lineage: Eukaryota; Metazoa; Chordata; Mammalia; Artiodactyla; Bovidae.